UGGCCAGACUCCUACGGGAGGCAGCAGUGGGGGAUAUUGCACAAUGGGGGGAACCCUGAUGCAGCGACGCCGCGUGGGUGAAGAAGCGCCUCGGCGCGUAAAGCCCUAUCGGCAGGGAAGAAGGAGGACGGUACCUGACUAAGAAGCCCCGGCUAACUACGUGCCAGCAGCCGCGGUAAUACGUAGGGGGCAAGCGUUAUCCGGAUUUACUGGGUGUAAAGGGGGCGCAGACGGCAGCGCAAGCCAGGAGUGAAAGCCCGGGGCCCAACCCCGGGACUGCUUUGGAAACUGAGCAGCUAGAGUGCAGGAGAGGUAAGUGGAAUUCCUAGUGUAGCGGUGAAAUGCGUAGAUAUUAGGAGGAACACCAGUGGCGAAGGCGGCUUACUGGACUGUAACUGACGUUGAGGCUCGAAAGCGUGGGGAGCAAACAGGAUUAGAUACCCUCGUA
RNAcentral lists this ribosomal RNA (448 nucleotides) under uncultured bacterium. Its description in RNAcentral is "partial 16S ribosomal RNA". It matches the Rfam family "Bacterial small subunit ribosomal RNA", at positions 328 to 792 of the family's 1533-position model. The record is from RNAcentral.